RNAcentral lists this unclassified non-coding RNA (658 nucleotides) under Hevea brasiliensis (rubber tree). Lineage: Eukaryota; Viridiplantae; Streptophyta; Magnoliopsida; Malpighiales; Euphorbiaceae. The record is from RNAcentral.
AAUAAUAGCUAUUCCUAUGCAUAAAUCACAUUGACACUUAGUAGUCUAUAUCACAGUAAGUCCUCUGGGCAAUCUUUGCAGAGGUGAAGUGCACAACCACUGAGGGACAUAAAAUUCUCAGAGUUUUAUGCUUAGACUUCCAUAUUCCAACCUUGAAACGAGUUCUUGCCUGAAUCCUGACAUCUAACUGGACCUUUCCUGAUGCUUUAUCGAGCCUCAGGUCUCUAGACAAGCCAUUAGACAAUGCAACAUCUCUAGCUUCAAUCUUUGCCUUCAGUUGAGUCACAUUUCCCAUAGGUUGAUGAAAUGGCUCCAGGGUGUUAAAGGCAAUGGUUUGAUCAUCAUAAGAUAAAGAAACAUCAAUAGAAUCGUAGUAUACAGAGAUUCUUCUAUUAGGGUUACGUACCCUAAUCCCAAAAUCAAAUGAGGCAUUGAGGUGGUUGUAGUUGAGUUUGAAGUUACUCACUGUACCAUUUUCAAUGGUGUAAACAAGCUGUUUAGGCUUGAUUACUAGCCAAGUGAUUAGCACAGCUAGACCCACGAGGACUAUCAGGGCUAGUAUCACGAUAGCAAUGACUCGAAGCAGAUUUGAGUGGGCUGGCCUGGCUUCAGCUGGUGGUUGGGUAGUAACACCAUUAGCCAUUGUGAAGGAAUUGAU